UUCCGGUUGAUCCUGCCGGACCUGACUGCUAUCGGAUUGGUACUAAGCCAUGUGAGUCGUUGUAGCAAUACAAGGCAUACGGCUCAGUAACACGUAGUCAAUCUAACCUAUGGACGGGGAUAACCUCGGGAAACUGAGGAUAAACCCCGAUAGAUCAUAAUGCCUGGAACGGUUUAUGGUUCAAAUGAUUCGUCGCCGUAGGGUGGGACUGCGGCCUAUCAGCUUGUUGGUGAGGUAAUGGCCCACCAAGGCUAUUACAGGUACGGGCUCUGAGAGGAGUAGCCCGGAGAUGGGUACUGAGACACGGACCCAGGCCCUAUGGGGCGCAGCAGGCGAGAAACCUUUGCAAUGUGCGCAAGCACGACAAGGUUAAUCCGAGUGUUUCCUGUUAAAGGAAUCUUUUGUUAGUCGUAAAAUCACUAUUGAAUAAGGGGUGGGCAAGUUCUGGUGUCAGCCGCCGCGGUAAAACCAGCACCUCAAGUGGUCAGGAUGAUUAUUGGGCCUAAAGCAUCCGUAGCCUGUUCUGAAAGUUUCCGGUUAAAUCCAUUAACUCAACUAAUGGGCUGCCGAAAAUACUGCAGAACUAGGGAGUGGGAGAGGUAGACGGUACUCGGUAGGAAGGGGUAAAAUCCUUUGAUCUAUUGAUGACCACCUGUGGCGAAAGGCGGUCUACCAGAACACGUUCGACGGUGAGGGAUGAAAGCUGGGGGAGCAAACCGGAUUAGAUACCCGGGUAGUCCCAGCUGUAAACGAUGCA
Molecule: ribosomal RNA, 757 nt
Filed under: uncultured archaeon
Lineage: Archaea
Description: bacterial SSU rRNA
Rfam family: Archaeal small subunit ribosomal RNA
Source: RNAcentral